CUGAUUAGCUAGUUGGUGGGGUAACGGCCUACCAAGGCGACGAUCAGUAGCUGGUCUGAGAGGAUGAUCAGCCACACCGGGACUGAGACACGGCCCGGACUCCUACGGGAGGCAGCAGUGGGGAAUAUUGGACAAUGGGGGCAACCCUGAUCCAGCCAUGCCGCGUGUGUGAAGAAGGCCUUAGGGUUGUAAAGCACUUUAAGCAGGAAAGAAAAGCGGCGGGUUAAUAGCCCGAUCGUAUUGACGGUACCUGCGGAAUAAGCACCGGCUAACUCCGUGCCAGCAGCCGCGGUAAUACAGAGGGUGCAAGCGUUAAUCGGAAUUACUGGGCGUAAAGCGAGUGCAGGCGGUCAUGUGUGUCGGGUGUGAAAGCCCCGGGCUUAACCUGGGAAUGGCAUCCGAAACUGCAUGACUGGAAUAUGGUAGAGGAAGACGGAAUUCCACGUGUAGCGGUG
Molecule: ribosomal RNA, 455 nt
Filed under: uncultured bacterium
Lineage: Bacteria
Description: bacterial SSU rRNA
Rfam family: Bacterial small subunit ribosomal RNA
Source: RNAcentral